UACGAAGGUCCCGGGCGUUGUUCGGAAUCACUGGGCGUAAAGGGAGCGUAGGCGGCGUGGCAAGUCAGACGUGAAAGCCCGGGGCUCAACCCCGGAACUGCGUCCGAUACUGCCGUGCUCUGAGGGUUGGAGAGGUAGCUGGAAUUCUUGGUGUAGCAGUGAAAUGCGUGGAGAUCAAGAGGAACACUCGUGGCGAAAGCGAGCUACUGGACAACACCUGACGCUGAGGCUCGAAGGCCAGGGUAGCGAAAGGG
RNAcentral lists this ribosomal RNA (254 nucleotides) under uncultured bacterium. RNAcentral's name for it is "partial 16S ribosomal RNA". It matches the Rfam family "Bacterial small subunit ribosomal RNA", at positions 524 to 776 of the family's 1533-position model. The record is from RNAcentral.